UGGGGAAUUUGGACAAUGGGCGAAAGCCUGAUCCAGCAAUGCCGCGUGUGUGAAGAAGGCCUUCGGGUUGUAAAGCACUUUUGUCCGGAAAGAAAUCCUUGGCUCUAAUACAGUCGGGGGAUGACGGUACCGGAAGAAUAAGCACCGGCUAACUACGUGCCAGCAGCCGCGGUAAUACGUAGGGUGCAAGCGUUAAUCGGAAUUACUGGGCGUAAAGCGUGCGCAGGCGGUUUGCUAAGACCGAUGUGAAAUCCCCGGGCUCAACCUGGGAACUGCAUUGGUGACUGGCAGGCUAGAGUAUGGCAGAGGGGGGUAGAAUUCCACGUGUAGCAGUGAAAUGCGUAGAGAUGUGGAGGAAUACCGAUGGCGAAGGCAGCCCCCUGGGCCAAUACUGACGCUCAUGCACGAAAGCGUGGGGAGCAAACAGGAUUAGAUACCCUGGUAGUCCACGCCCUAAACGAUGUCAACUAGUUGUUGGGGAUUCAUUUCCUUAGUAACGUAGCUAACGCGUGAAGUUGACCGCCUGGGGAGUACGGUCGCAAGAUUAAAACUUAAAUGAAUUGACGGGGUCAUAGCUGUUUCCU
This 584-nucleotide ribosomal RNA is filed under the name uncultured bacterium. RNAcentral's name for it is "partial 16S ribosomal RNA". It matches the Rfam family "Bacterial small subunit ribosomal RNA", at positions 356 to 1375 of the family's 1533-position model. The record is from RNAcentral.